Molecule: RNA transcript, 1694 nt
Organism: Etheostoma cragini (Arkansas darter)
Lineage: Eukaryota; Metazoa; Chordata; Actinopteri; Perciformes; Percidae
Gene: rwdd4
Gene name: RWD domain containing 4
Exons: 7
Source: RefSeq, a predicted model, not a curated record
UCUAGUCUGCUUUAAACCAAAGAAGAAGAAGAACUGGUGUCACUGGUUAGUUGUACCAGCUGAGGAAGUUGUUACAUUAUUAUUUUAGUAAAGUUUUAAUAGGAGAAAUGGGUUGUUAACUCUGGGAUUUAUAAACUCUACACAGAGAGUAUAGCGGACCCAAACAGAAGGAAUACCAUGACAGCUAACGAGGAUCAAGAGAUGGAGUUGGAGGCUCUUCGCUCUAUCUAUGAGGGGGAUGAGUGUUUCAAGGAAAUCAGUUUAGUUUCCUUUCAGUUUAGGAUAGGAGACAUUGAUGACAGCAAAGCAUUCAUGCUGGACGUCACAUGGCCUGAGACGUACCCUGAGACGGCCCCACAAAUGUCCCUUGAUGCCUUUUUCAACAACAGAUUCUCUGCGGAGACAAAGCAGCUGAUUCUUAUGAAGCUGGAGGAGCAGGUGGAGGCUAACCUGGGCACUGCAAUGAUGUAUACUCUGUUCGAGUGGGCCAAGGAGAACAAGGAGGCCCUCAUGGAGAACCACAAGCCUGUAGCCACUGCUGUGACAUCCAGCAGUGAAGGGAUCACCAGCUCAACAGCCAAGAAGAAGGAGAAGAAGGAGCAGCUGACUAAAUCUCAGAAGAGGAGGAUUGUCAACAAAACAGAUCACAAAGGGGAACUGCCAAGAGGUUGGAACUGGGUUGAUGUCAUCAAAGUAGGUGCAUUUUAUCUUCUGGCCACAAGGUGGUGCACUUAUUCAGCUUUAAACCUGCAGGGACAUUGAUCAUGAACCUGUCCAUAUUUGUUUUUUUUCCUCCCCUCUAUUGUCACUCCUGCUUGACGGUCCAGCAUUUAAGUAAAACAGGAGGAAAAGAUGACGAUUUGGCCUGAGCGCAGUGAUCUGGUGCUGCUUUGCACAACAAAGUGCAUUGAAGUAUGAACUCACCUGUAGUAGCCUGUUGAUGCUGCUAAUGCUGCUGUCCAGAUACAGUCACAUCCUCCAUCUUUAACAUUUACUCAACAUGGCUGCUUUCAGACUGAGAACCAAAGCAGGCUGGGAAUAGUGGACCUCAGGACACACACACACACACACACACACACACACACACACACACACACACACACACACACACACACACACACACACACACACACACACACACACACACACACACACACACACACUUCCAGCUAAAGUCAGACUUUGAGCUGUUAACUAUUUGAAGCCCUUGCUGUGUUUUUAUGUGUUUGUGUGCAAUCAGGUGAAGAGGAACACAUCAACUUUUGCUCCUACAUUCUGCUCAGUCAUCCAUCAGCGUGGAGUGUGCUUGAGAUACUUGCUGUCACUGCCAUGUUUUCAGUCUGUGAUUAGGCCCAGCCGCCCGGCACUGGAGCUACAAAUGUUGGAUAGUGGUUCUAAAUGGAUGUGUCAAAGUGUACAUUUUUGAAAACCCAAAAUGUCACCAGACUGUUUUUUUUCCUCUAUAAAUUGAUUUCUUUUUAAUAAAUAAUCCACAUUUGGUCUACUGCUUGUCUAAAAAUAUAAUUUACCAUUGAGUUGAAUUGUGUGAGUUUUAAGAGUAAAAGAAGUGAAUUACCCCAAGAAGUCGGUUUAAAUUGUGAAGUGUUAAGUAACAAAAUUGUGCCAGAGUUACAAAGGAAGUGAAGGGAUGUUUGCCUUCAAAAUAAAACCAAAUCUGAUAAUUGCUGUUCCUA